GACGGAGGGUGCAAGCGUUGUUCGGAAUUACUGGGCGUAAAGCGCGGGCAGGUGGUCUUUUAAGUCCUUUGUGAAAUCCCGGGGCUCAACUCCGGAUGUGCAUAGGAUACUGGAAGACUGGAGACUGGUAGAGGCGAGCGGAAUUCCUGGUGUAGCGGUGAAAUGCGCAGAUAUCAGGAGGAACACCGGUGGCGAAGGCGGGUCUCUGGGCCGUUCCUGACGCUGAGACGCGAAAGCUAGGGGAGCGAACAGG
Molecule: ribosomal RNA, 253 nt
Filed under: uncultured bacterium
Lineage: Bacteria
Description: partial 16S ribosomal RNA
Rfam family: Bacterial small subunit ribosomal RNA
Source: RNAcentral